AAGCGUUUCAUAUAUUCCUUUAUACACAGUUUUCACUAAACAUUGUCAGCUGUCAGCAGAAUGACGUUUACGGCAACCCUAUUGCAUUGCUAUUCCGCACUCGUUUUGUUUACAUUUAUUUGUACUGUGGUCAGUUUGCAAAAAAUAUGCGAAAAUAUCAAGGACGACCGAAAAAACAUCCUGGUUUUAAUAAAGAUCCAGAAUUCAGCGUAAACGUCGAGCUCAAGAAAAAAAUAUGAAAUUAAAUUCCCGAGAUGUGGAAGAUUCCGAACAAGCGGAUGUUUUCGAAAGGUCAGAAAUUAUUGAUACAACUGCAUCUGUGUCAAAGGAGAAUCAUUGCCCGGAUGAUUUUUUUACAAAGUCCGGAAGUGAAAAAUUUGACUUUUCUACGCCAGAAGUUACAGCUAAUGUUCCUAAGACAAACCAGGCUUUCCUGAGUUCUGAUCUGGACAUUUCA
Long non-coding RNA from Stegodyphus dumicola, 457 nucleotides. The record is from RefSeq and is a predicted model, not a curated record. Lineage: Eukaryota; Metazoa; Arthropoda; Arachnida; Araneae; Eresidae.